AGCCCUUUCCCAGCCACCGUCAUCCAGGGACCUCCAUCUCUUGUGUCAGGACAGAAUCGCGGGUGCGCUGGACACAGCCCUGGCGGGGCCCAUUCAGCCGCACCCCCGAGAGCUCCCCAGUGGGGUCUGUUUCCUGGACCCCCUGAGCCACCUGGUUCUGUUCUGUGCCUGCAUCUCCAGCCUCGUCGGUUCUGCAGAUUGCCUGACGUCCUCCAGCUUCCUGUGGCCUGAGCUGCUGCCUAGACUUCAGAGGAGUUCAAGGACAAGCUGGAGCCCUCUGACACCUGAGCUGAGAGGCUGACGAACUGCCACCCUCCAUAAAUAGACGGUGACACAGCAGAUGGUAGAUGGAGAUUAAUCUCUUGCGCCCCGACCGGCCCCUCGCCAACGAGCAGCCUGCGGCCGGGGAGAUCUCGGGGCCUUUCCCUGAGCUGCGCUCCUGGGACAGUCCCACCCUGACCAACAGCAGCCCCCGGUUUGUUUCUGAGGGUCCGUCUCCAAAAACCUGCAAGGAGAAAGAGCCUCCGCCACUGUGCCGGACCCCAAGGAGAGCAC
Urocitellus parryii (Arctic ground squirrel) is the source of this 555-nucleotide long non-coding RNA. RefSeq lists it as uncharacterized. Lineage: Eukaryota; Metazoa; Chordata; Mammalia; Rodentia; Sciuridae. The record is from RefSeq and is a predicted model, not a curated record.